RNAcentral lists this ribosomal RNA (663 nucleotides) under uncultured bacterium. RNAcentral's name for it is "bacterial SSU rRNA". It matches the Rfam family "Bacterial small subunit ribosomal RNA", at positions 395 to 1048 of the family's 1533-position model. The record is from RNAcentral.
UGCCGCGUGAGUGAAGAAGGCCUUCGGGUUGUAAAGCUCUUUUGUGCAGGCAAGAAACGGUGAGAGCUAAUAUCUCUUGCUAAUGACGGUACCUGAAGAAUAAGCACCGGCUAACUACGUGCCAGCAGCCGCGGUAAUACGUAGGGUGCAAGCGUUAAUCGGAAUUACUGGGCGUAAAGCGUGCGCAGGCGGUUUUGUAAGUCUGAUGUGAAAUCCCCGGGCUCAACCUGGGAAUUGCAUUGGAGACUGCAAGGCUAGAAUCUGGCAGAGGGGGGUAGAAUUCCACGUGUAGCAGUGAAAUGCGUAGAUAUGUGGAGGAACACCGAUGGCGAAGGCAGCCCCCUGGGUCAAGAUUGACGCUCAUGCACGAAAGCGUGGGGAGCAAACAGGAUUAGAUACCCUGGUAGUCCACGCCCUAAACGAUGUCUACUAGUUGUCGGGUCUUAAUUGACUUGGUAACGCAGCUAACGCGUGAAGUAGACCGCCUGGGGAGUACGGUCGCAAGAUUAAAACUCAAAGGAAUUGACGGGGACCCGCACAAGCGGUGGAUGAUGUGGAUUAAUUCGAUGCAACGCGAAAAACCUUACCUACCCUUGACAUGGCUGGAAUCCUUGAGAGAUCAGGGAGUGCUUUGAAAGAGACCAGUACACAGGUGCUGCAUGG